GACGAACGCUGGCGGCGUGCUUAACACAUGCAAGUCGAACGGAAAGGCCCUGCUUUUGUGGGGUGCUCGAGUGGCGAACGGGUGAGUAACACGUGAGUAACCUGCCCUUGACUUUGGGAUAACUUCAGGAAACUGGGGCUAAUACCGGAUAGGAGCUCCUGCUGCAUGGUGUGGGUUGGAAAGUUUCGGCGGUUGGGGAUGGACUCGCGGCUUAUCAGCUUGUUGGUGGGGUAGUGGCUUACCAAGGCUUUGACGGGUAGCCGGCCUGAGAGGGUGACCGGCCACACUGGGACUGAGAUACGGCAGAGACUCCUACGGGAGGCAGCAGUGGGGAAUAUUGAACAAUGGGCGGAAGCCUGAUGCAGCAACGCCGCGUGCGGGAUGACGGCCUUCGGGUUGUAAACCGCUUUCGCAUGUGACGAAGCGUGAGUGACGGUAAUGGGUAAAGAAGCCCCGGGUAACUAAGUG
Molecule: ribosomal RNA, 468 nt
Filed under: uncultured bacterium
Lineage: Bacteria
Description: partial 16S ribosomal RNA
Rfam family: Bacterial small subunit ribosomal RNA
Source: RNAcentral